Molecule: ribosomal RNA, 252 nt
Filed under: uncultured bacterium
Lineage: Bacteria
Description: partial 16S ribosomal RNA
Rfam family: Bacterial small subunit ribosomal RNA
Source: RNAcentral
UACGUAGGGGGCGAGCGUUAUCCGGAAUCACUGGGCGUAAAGGGUGCGUAGGCGGCCAAAUAAGCCAGGGGUGAAAGGCUACGGCUUAACCGUAGUAAGCCUUUGGAACUGUAUGGCUUGAGUGCAGGAGAGGAGAGUGGAAUUCCUAGUGUAGCGGUGAAAUGCGUAGAUAUUAGGAGGAACACCAGUGGCGAAGGCGACUCUCUGGACUGUAACUGACGCUGAGGCACGAAAGCGUGGGGAGCGAACAGG